GGUGCCAGCAGCCGCGGUAAUUCCAGCUCCAAUAGUGUAUAUUAAUGUUCCUGCAGUUAUUCGAUGCUCGUAGUUGGAUUUCUGGAGGCUGAGACAGGAAGGCAGCCAAGGUUGUCGCCAGUCUCNNNNNUCAUCCACCUGUUAACGUUGUCCGGGAUUCAUUUCUCGGCUUCGGGCUCAGGUAUUUUACCCUUUCUAUAUAUUCAUUUAUUUACUUUUUGAGCAAAUUAUAGUGUUUCAGGCAGGCGUGCGCCGGAAUACAUUAGCAUGGAAUAAUCGAACAGGACCGUGUAUUCAUUAUUUGAAUUCUUCCUUAUUUGUUGGUUCUAAGGACACGGAAAUGGUUAAUAGGGAUAGUAAUUNUCAGNGGAGGCAUUAGUAUUUAAUUUCCAGAGGCGA
Molecule: ribosomal RNA, 399 nt
Filed under: uncultured marine ciliate
Lineage: Eukaryota; Ciliophora
Description: SSU rRNA
Rfam family: Eukaryotic small subunit ribosomal RNA
Source: RNAcentral